RNAcentral lists this unclassified non-coding RNA (387 nucleotides) under uncultured fungus. Its description in RNAcentral is "partial contains 5.8S ribosomal RNA and internal transcribed spacer 2". The stretch from base 1 to 133 matches the Rfam family "5.8S ribosomal RNA", at positions 22 to 154 of the family's 154-position model. The record is from RNAcentral. Lineage: Eukaryota; Fungi.
UGGCUCUCGCAUCGAUGAAGAACGCAGCGAAAUGCGAUAAGUAAUGUGAAUUGCAGAAUUCAGUGAAUCAUCGAAUCUUUGAACGCAUCUUGCACCUUCGGGUAUUCCCGAGGGUAUGUCUGUCUGAGUGUCAUUUGAACUCUCAAGGCUCCCUUUCCCUUCAAUGGGGUCUGGGCGCUUUGGAUCGUGGGUGUUUGCCGGUCUGGCCGGCUCACCUCAAAUCAAAUGGAGUGGUUUUCUCUGAAGCCUGUGUCGGGUUUGACCUGGAGUGGUAGAAGUCUUUCGAGAUCUCUGGGGACGCUUCGGCGGCCUGCUAUGGUGGGAGGGACUGCUUGGUUGGACUCAUCUGACGUUUUUGACCUCAGAUCAGGCAGGAUUACCCGCUGA